Molecule: long non-coding RNA, 1020 nt
Organism: Anopheles coluzzii
Lineage: Eukaryota; Metazoa; Arthropoda; Insecta; Diptera; Culicidae
Exons: 5
Source: RefSeq, a predicted model, not a curated record
AAUUACACCGAUCUCACGUGUCAAACCAUGUUGACGCUGUUGACGGCAAAUGCACGUGCAUCAUUUGUUCAUUUCCAUUUCCUUUGAGACGGCGAAUAGUCAAGGAUGCAUCGAAAUGAAUGCAAUACCAGCAGGGUUCAGUUGAAUGGAGAUAAAACAUGUGGCUGCUGUAAACGGUCGCCUGAAAGAUGAAUAAUUCUACCCAUUGUAAUAGUCGGGAAAAUGGAUGCAACAUUAUCCUGGUUGCUCCGAAUGCGAACCAGAUGAAACAUACGCCAUGGCGUAGAAGGAAUCAAACUGAAACAUACGCCAUGGCGUGAAAGAAUCAAGUACAAUGGCGCUAUCCUCAAAUCGGUUCAUUCUGCUCAAUGAACGGACCAACUAAAAAAUGGAUUCAACAGCUAAUCAUCACUGUUCCGGAUGAGAUCCUUAUGACCCAUACACCAUGAUGUCAAAGGAACCCAGAUGAUACUUGCGCCAUGGUGUAAAGGAAUUCCGAUGAUUCAUGCGUCAAAUGGUGCUAUCCUCAAAUCGCUUUCUACUCAAUGAACGGACCAACGAAGAAAAUGCAAACCAUCAGCGUCCACCAUCAAUCCAGAUGAAACGUACACCGUAAAAGGGAUCCGGAUGAUUCAUAUGUCGUAGUAGAAUCCUCAUAAUACAUGCGCCAUGGUGCAAAGGAAUCACGUUGAUUCAUGCAUCAAAUGGUGCUCUCAAAUCGAUUCGCUCGAAUCAAUGAACGGGCUAUCGAUGAAAAUAGUAAGUAAACGCCAUAUCCCUCCCUCAAGAAACCAAACCCAUUUUUCCUGGAAUAGGUUGACAAUGUAGUAGUGGCACUGGGUCUCUAUCCUUUCCAACAAAGCUAAAUGGAAGGUUCAAUAGAAUGAGUGGAUGAAGCUAUGGAUUUGCAUGUCAUUUAUUGAUAGGGAAGAAAGGGCUACAUGUAUCACAUUCUGGGAAUAGUUGAUGUAGAGGAAAAGGAUAAUCUUCAUGAAGAAUAAAACAAAAAUAUUGUCUCUA